UACGGAGGGUGCUAGCGUUGUUCGGAAUCAUUGGGCGUAAAGGGCGCGUAGGCGGUCCUGCAAGUCAGGUGUGAAAUCCCACGGCUUAACCGUGGAAUUGCGCUUGAAACUGCAGGACUUGAGUACGGGAGAGGGUAGCGGAAUUCCGAGUGUAGAGGUGAAAUUCGUAGAUAUUCGGAGGAACACCGGUGGCGAAGGCGGCUACCUGGACCGAUACUGACGCUGAGGCGCGAAAGCGUGGGGAGCAAACAGGAUUAGAUACCCUGGUAGUCCACGCUGUAAACGAUGAGUGCUAGGUGUCGCGGGUAUUGACCCCUGCGGUACCGCAGCUAACGCAUUAAGCACUCCGCCUGGGGAGUACGGCCGCAAGGUUA
This 374-nucleotide ribosomal RNA is filed under the name uncultured prokaryote. RNAcentral's name for it is "bacterial SSU rRNA". It matches the Rfam family "Bacterial small subunit ribosomal RNA", at positions 524 to 896 of the family's 1533-position model. The record is from RNAcentral.